RNAcentral lists this ribosomal RNA (253 nucleotides) under uncultured bacterium. RNAcentral describes it as "partial 16S ribosomal RNA". It matches the Rfam family "Bacterial small subunit ribosomal RNA", at positions 524 to 776 of the family's 1533-position model. The record is from RNAcentral.
UACAGAGGUCUCAAGCGUUAAUCGGAAUUACUGGGCGUAAAGCGUGCGUAGGCGGUUCGUUAAGUUCGUUGUGAAAGCCCCGGGCUCAACCUGGGAACUGCAAUGGAAACUGGCGGGCUUGAGUGUGGCAGAGGGGGGUGGAAUUCCGCGUGUAGCAGUGAAAUGCGUAGAGAUGCGGAGGAACACCGAUGGCGAAGGCAGCCCCCUGGGCCAACACUGACGCUCAGGCACGAAAGCGUGGGGAGCAAACAGG